This 465-nucleotide ribosomal RNA is filed under the name uncultured bacterium. Its description in RNAcentral is "partial 16S ribosomal RNA". It matches the Rfam family "Bacterial small subunit ribosomal RNA", at positions 339 to 795 of the family's 1533-position model. The record is from RNAcentral.
CUACGGGUCGCUCCAGUGGGGAAUAUUGGACAAUGGGGGAAACCCUGAUCCAGCAAUGCCGCGUGUGUGAAGAAGGCCUGCGGGUUGUAAAGCACUUUCGGUUGGGAGGACUGCUUCUAGCACUAAUAUUGUUGGAAGUUGACGUUACCUUCAGAAGAAGCACCGGCUAACUCCGUGCCAGCAGCCGCGGUAAUACGGAGGGUGGAAGCGUUAAUCGGAAUUACUGGGCGUAAAGCGCGCGUAGGCGGCUAGAUCAGUCGGGUGUGAAAGCCCCGGGCUUAACCUGGGAACUGCAUCUGAUACUGUCUAGCUUGAGUACAGGAGAGGAGAGUGGAAUUCCACAUGUAGCGGUGAAAUGCGUAGAUAUGUGGAGGAACACCAAUGGCGAAGGCAGCUCUCUGGCCUGAUACUGACGCUGAGGUGCGAAAGCGUGGGGAGCAAACAGGAUUAGAUACCCGAGUAGUC